RNAcentral lists this ribosomal RNA (483 nucleotides) under uncultured bacterium. RNAcentral's name for it is "bacterial SSU rRNA". It matches the Rfam family "Bacterial small subunit ribosomal RNA", at positions 28 to 507 of the family's 1533-position model. The record is from RNAcentral.
GAUGAACGCUAGCUACAAGCUUAACACAUGCAAGUCGAGGGGCAGCAUUAGGUAGCAAUACUGAGAUGGCGACCGGCGCAAGGGUGCGUAACGCGUGAGCAACUUGCCCGUUUCUGGGGGAUAACCGGUGGAAACGCCGACUAAUACCCCAUAGUAUUGGAUUUAGGCAUCUUUAUCCAAUUAAAGAAUUUCGGAAACGGAUAGGCUCGCGUGACAUUAGCUAGAUGGCGGGUAACGGCCCACCAUGGCUACGAUGUCUAGGGGUUCUGAGAGGAAGGUCCCCCACACUGGAACUGAGACACGGUCCAGACUCCUACGGGAGGCAGCAGUGAGGAAUAUUGGUCAAUGGUCGGAAGACUGAACCAGCCAUGCCGCGUGAAGGUCACGGCCCUAUGGGUCUUAAACUUCUUUUGUAAGGGAGCAAUAAGGCGUACGUGUACGUCGAUGAGAGUACCUUACGAAUAAGCAUCGGCUAACUCCGUG